This 499-nucleotide ribosomal RNA is filed under the name uncultured bacterium. Its description in RNAcentral is "bacterial SSU rRNA". It matches the Rfam family "Bacterial small subunit ribosomal RNA", at positions 28 to 517 of the family's 1533-position model. The record is from RNAcentral.
GAUGAACGCUAGCUACAGGCUUAACACAUGCAAGUCGAGGGGCAGCAUGGUCUUAGCUUGCUAAGGCCGAUGGCGACCGGCGCACGGGUGAGUAACACGUAUCCAACCUGCCGUUUACUCAGGGAUAGCCUUUCGAAAGAAAGAUUAAUACCUGAUAGUAUGGUGAGAUUGCAUGAUAACACCAUUAAAGAUUUAUUGGUAAACGAUGGGGAUGCGUUCCAUUAGGUAGUAGGCGGGGUAACGGCCCACCUAGCCUGCGAUGGAUAGGGGUUCUGAGAGGAAGGUCCCCCACAUUGGAACUGAGACACGGUCCAAACUCCUACGGGAGGCAGCAGUGAGGAAUAUUGGUCAAUGGGCGAGAGCCUGAACCAGCCAAGUAGCGUGAAGGAUGAAGGUCCUACGGAUUGUAAACUUCUUUUAUACGGGAAUAAAGUUUCCUACGUGUAGGAUUUGUAUGUACCGUAUGAAUAAGCAUCGGCUAACUCCGUGCCAGCAGCCG